AUUUAUAUAGUUUAAUAAACUUUAUAUUUUCAUUAUAAAAUUGGAAAUUAUAAUUUCCUAUAAACU
RNAcentral lists this transfer RNA (66 nucleotides) under Pristaulacus sp. ZJUH_2016030. RNAcentral describes it as "tRNA-Glu". Lineage: Eukaryota; Metazoa; Arthropoda; Insecta; Hymenoptera; Aulacidae. The record is from RNAcentral.